This 745-nucleotide ribosomal RNA is filed under the name uncultured Oribacterium sp. RNAcentral's name for it is "bacterial SSU rRNA". It matches the Rfam family "Bacterial small subunit ribosomal RNA", at positions 28 to 776 of the family's 1533-position model. Lineage: Bacteria; Bacillati; Bacillota; Clostridia; Lachnospirales; Lachnospiraceae. The record is from RNAcentral.
GAUGAACGCGGGCGGCGUGCCUAACACAUGCAAGUCGAACGGGAUGCGUAUUGAAAGCUUCGGCCGGAAGAUACGUUAUCUAGUGGCGGACGGGUGAGUAACACGUGGGUAACCUGCCUUAUGGAGGGGGAUAACAGAGAGAAAUCACUGCUAAUACCGCAUAAGCACACAGUACCGCAUGGUACAGGGUGAAAAGAUUUAUCGCCAUAAGAUGGACCCGCGUCUGAUUAGCCAGUUGGCAGGGUAAAAGCCUACCAAAGCAACGAUCAGUAGCCGAUCUGAGAGGAUGACCGGCCACAUUGGGACUGAGACACGGCCCAAACUCCUACGGGAGGCAGCAGUGGGGAAUAUUGCACAAUGGGGGAAACCCUGAUGCAGCGACGCCGCGUGAGUGAAGAAGUAUUUCGGUAUGUAAAGCUCUAUCAGCAGGGAAGAUAAUGACAGUACCUGACUAAGAAGCCCCGGCUAACUACGUGCCAGCAGCCGCGGUAAUACGUAGGGGGCAAGCGUUAUCCGGAUUUACUGGGUGUAAAGGGAGCGUAGACGGAAUGGCAAGUCUGAAGUGAAAUACCCGGGCUCAACCUGGGAACUGCUUUGGAAACUGUUGUUCUAGAGUGUUGGAGAGGUAAGUGGAAUUCCUGGUGUAGCGGCGAAAUGCGUAGAUAUCAGGAAGAACACCGGAGGCGAAGGCGGCUUACUGGACAAUAACUGACGUUGAGGCUCGAAAGCGUGGGGAUCAAACAGG